Pseudonaja textilis is the source of this 84-nucleotide non-coding RNA. The record is from RefSeq and is a predicted model, not a curated record. Lineage: Eukaryota; Metazoa; Chordata; Lepidosauria; Squamata; Elapidae.
CAACUGUCAUAAGUACUUGCCAGUUGCCAAGCAUCCGAAUUUUGAUCAUGUGACCACGGGGAAACUACAACGGUCGUAAAUGUG